UUUUUUAAUUGAGGGCUGGAAUGAAAGGUAGAUACUAAAGGGAAGGUUUUAUGAAAAAAUUUUGAAUUUAAAUUAAAAGUAAAAAUUCUUUUAUUAAUCCUUGGGACGAGAAGACCCUAGAAGCUUUAAAUUUAUAAAUAAUUUUUAAUUGGGGCAAUUGUUAAAGAGAUAGAUUUUUAAUAGUAAUAUUUAAAGUUAAUAAGUUACUCUAGGGAUAACAGCGUUAUUUAAUUAGCAAGUUCUUAUUAAUAAUUAGGUUUGCGACCUCGAUGUUGAAUUAAAUUGUAUUUUGGGUGUAGAAGCUUAAAUGGAGUAGUCUGUUCGACUAUUAAUAAUUUACGUGA
RNAcentral lists this ribosomal RNA (344 nucleotides) under Metasarcidae sp. 8 MA-2018. RNAcentral's name for it is "partial large subunit ribosomal RNA". The stretch from base 99 to 344 matches the Rfam family "Bacterial large subunit ribosomal RNA", at positions 2073 to 2603 of the family's 2925-position model. The record is from RNAcentral. Lineage: Eukaryota; Metazoa; Arthropoda; Arachnida; Opiliones; Metasarcidae.